AAGUCGUAACAAGGUAACCGUAGGUGAACCUGCGGUUGGAUCAUUAAAAGAAGGGUCGGGAUCAUCGUGGUCCAAGUGGUCCGUCCACUUGGACCACGAUGAUACCGGUGAUCCCGGAGGAAGGAAGCAGGGGCGGGUUGCUCAGGCAUCCCCUGCUCUGCUUUUUGUCCCCACGUUGUGUGAGUUUUUUUAGUUUUUUUUUUUACUUGUCCUCUGGACGCAAAACCAAAGAAAACAACUUUUGGCAACGGAUCUCUUGGCUCUC
This 265-nucleotide unclassified non-coding RNA is filed under the name fungal sp. Its description in RNAcentral is "partial internal transcribed spacer region". The stretch from base 1 to 46 matches the Rfam family "Eukaryotic small subunit ribosomal RNA", at positions 1786 to 1831 of the family's 1831-position model. Lineage: Eukaryota; Fungi. The record is from RNAcentral.